AACGCUGGCGGCGUGCCUAAUACAUGCAAGUAGAACGCUGAAGAGAGGAGCUUGCUCUUCUUGGAUGAGUUGCGAACGGGUGAGUAACGCGUAGGUAACCUGCCUUGUAGCGGGGGAUAACUAUUGGAAACGAUAGCUAAUACCGCAUAACAAUGGAUGACACAUGUCAUUUAUUUGAAAGGGGCAAUUGCUCCACUACAAGAUGGACCUGCGUUGUAUUAGCUAGUAGGUGAGGUAAUGGCUCACCUAGGCGACGAUACAUAGCCGACCUGAGAGGGUGAUCGGCCACACUGGGACUGAGACACGGCCCAGACUCCUACGGGAGGCAGCAGUAGGGAAUCUUCGGCAAUGGGGGCAACCCUGACCGAGCAACGCCGCGUGAGUGAAGAAGGUUUUCGGAUCGUAAAGCUCUGUUGUAAGUCAAGAACGGGUGUGAGAGUGGAAAGUUCACACUGUGACGGUAGCUUACCAGAAAGGGACGGCUAACUACGUGCCAGCAGCCGCGGUAAUACGUAGGUCCCGAGCGUUGUCCGGAUUUAUUGGGCGUAAAGCGAGCGCAGGCGGUUUGAUAAGUCUGAAGUUAAAGGCUGUGGCUCAACCAUAGUUCGCUUUGGAAACUGUCAAACUUGAGUGCAGAAGGGGAGAGUGGAAUUCCAUGUGUAGCGGUGAAAUGCGUAGAUAUAUGGAGGAACACCGGUGGCGAAAGCGGCUCUCUGGUCUGUAACUGACGCUGAGGCUCGAAAGCGUGGGGAGCGAACAGGAUUAGAUACCCUGGUAGUCCACGCCGUAAACGAUGAGUGCUAGGUGUUGGAUCCUUUCCGGGAUUCAGUGCCGCAGCUAACGCAUUAAGCACUCCGCCUGGGGAGUACGACCGCAAGGUUGAAACUCAAAGGAAUUGACGGGGGCCCGCACAAGCGGUGGAGCAUGUGGUUUAAUUCGAAGCAACGCGAAGAACCUUACCAGGUCUUGACAUCCCGAUGCUAUUUCUAGAGAUAGAAAGUUACUUCGGUACAUCGGUGACAGGUGGUGCAUGGUUGUCGUCAGCUCGUGUCGUGAGAUGUUGGGUUAAGUCCCGCAACGAGCGCAACCCCUAUUGUUAGUUGCCAUCAUUCAGUUGGGCACUCUAGCGAGACUGCCGGUAAUAAACCGGAGGAAGGUGGGGAUGACGUCAAAUCAUCAUGCCCCUUAUGACCUGGGCUACACACGUGCUACAAUGGUUGGUACAACGAGUUGCGAGUCGGUGACGGCGAGCUAAUCUCUUAAAGCCAAUCUCAGUUCGGAUUGUAGGCUGCAACUCGCCUACAUGAAGUCGGAAUCGCUAGUAAUCGCGGAUCAGCACGCCGCGGUGAAUACGUUCCCGGGCCUUGUACACACCGCCCGUCACACCACGAGAGUUUGUAACACCCGAAGUCGGUGAGGUAACCUUUUGGAGCCAGCCGCCUAAGGUGGGACAGAUG
Molecule: ribosomal RNA, 1457 nt
Filed under: Streptococcus thermophilus
Lineage: Bacteria; Bacillati; Bacillota; Bacilli; Lactobacillales; Streptococcaceae
Description: bacterial SSU rRNA
Rfam family: Bacterial small subunit ribosomal RNA
Source: RNAcentral